GUAUUAAUUUAUUGUCUAUACUUCUACCACGUAGCCUACCCUAUAAUACAGUUUGAAUGCUAUGGAGUAGGAUUUAUAAAUAAAUAAGUCUAGUUAACUUGUACGUUAGAUAUUCAUUAAAAAUGCAACUUUAAGUGAAGUACCUAUUAUAUAGUUAAAUUAAUAAACAACAUUAGGCACGAAGAAUAAAGAAAGGCCUCAAGACAAUUGGGGCGGAGACCAAAGAGAAAUUGUCAAUGGAGAUAUUGCGGAAAUAUAUCCGAGUGGUCAUUAUGAUGCCCUAGAAAAACAAAAACUACAAUUUUGUAAUGCGCGUAACAAUUUUAAGAAAUUAAAAUAUUCAUACAAAAGGACAUGGUUAUAUUUAUAAAUUGGCUUGUUUAAUUAGAUAUAAAAUAUAACUAUAAAACGUCAUCUGAUGGUAAAACUAUCAUUAUCAAACCAUUUAAACAAGUGUUCUAUUUCACUGGAUACACUCAUUAUCUGAGUAGUGAAAAAUCAUGUUUAACAGCAUAGCACAGGAGCAUUUUGAUAAUGUAACACUACUCUCCCUCUUACCUAACUUAAAAGUAGAGUACCUCAAACAGAUUGAUGAAAUCAAACAUUUUGACUAAUAUUCUAAAUUAAUUUUUUAACAUAUGGUACUAUUUGAAAAUUCUAAGUAGGUAGUGGAUUUACCCCCAAAAAUAAGGAUGUGAAUAAAUAACAAAUGCAAAAUUGUUAAGUUGCUUGUUUCAUAUACAUUUCUUUAACUCCUAAAUUCCACAAAAAAUAAUAUAUUCAGAGAUAAUGAGUGUUUUAUAUAUAUAUGUUUAAUCCUAUUUUACUUAUUGAAUAUUAUUUGAAUGCAAGUAAACCAUUACAGCAUAAAUGUCAUCAAACAUUUUUUUCUUUUAAAUCUACACAACACAAUAGAACUUCA
Cinara cedri is the source of this 922-nucleotide non-coding RNA. The record is from the annotation of a GenBank genome assembly. NCBI's taxonomy places the organism in Eukaryota, Metazoa, Arthropoda, Insecta, Hemiptera, Aphididae.